CCUACGGGAGGCUGCAGUCGAGGAUCUUCCGCAAUGGGCGCAAGCCUGACGGAGCGACGCCGCGUGUGGGAUGAAGGCCUUCGGGUUGUAAACCACUGUCACUCGUUAAGAAAGGGUUGGGGGUUAACAGCCUCCAGCACUGACGAAGGCGAGAGAGGAAGCCACGGCUAACUUCGUGCCAGCAGCCGCGGUAAGACGAAGGUGGCGAGCGUUGUUCGGAAUCACUGGGCAUAAAGCGCACGUAGGCGGUGCCGUAAGUCGGGUGUGAAAUCCCUCGGCCUAACCGAGGAACUGCGCCCGAUACUGCGGUGCUUGAGGAUCAGAGGGGUGCAUGGAAUUUCCGGUGGAGCGGUGAAAUGCGUUGAUAUCGGAAGGAACUCCGGCGGCGAAAGCGAUGCACUGGCUGAUUUCUGACGCUGAGGUGCGAAAGCCAGGGGAGCAAACGGGAUUAGAUACCCGUGUAGUC
RNAcentral lists this ribosomal RNA (466 nucleotides) under uncultured bacterium. Its description in RNAcentral is "bacterial SSU rRNA". It matches the Rfam family "Bacterial small subunit ribosomal RNA", at positions 338 to 795 of the family's 1533-position model. The record is from RNAcentral.